Molecule: ribosomal RNA, 497 nt
Filed under: uncultured bacterium
Lineage: Bacteria
Description: partial 16S ribosomal RNA
Rfam family: Bacterial small subunit ribosomal RNA
Source: RNAcentral
GAUGAACGCUGGCGGCGUGCCUAAUACAUGCAAGUCGAGCGAACAGACGAGGAGCUUGCUCCUCUGACGUUAGCGGCGGACGGGUGAGUAACACGUGGAUAACCUACCUAUAAGACUGGGAUAACUUCGGGAAACCGGAGCUAAUACCGGAUAAUAUAUUGAACCGCAUGGUUCAAUAGUGAAAGACGGUUUUGCUGUCACUUAUAGAUGGAUCCGCGCCGCAUUAGCUAGUUGGUAAGGUAACGGCUUACCAAGGCAACGAUGCGUAGCCGACCUGAGAGGGUGAUCGGCCACACCUGAACUGAGACACGGUCCAAGCUCCCACGGGAGGCAGCAGUAGGGAAUCUUCCGCAAUGGGCGAAAGCCUGACGGAGCAACGCCGCGGGAGUGAUGAAGGUCUUCGGAUCGUAAAACUCUGUUAUUAGGGAAGAACAAAUGUGUAAGUAACUAUGCACGUCUUGACGGUACCUAAUCAGAAAGCCACGGCUAACUACGUG